This 1368-nucleotide long non-coding RNA is filed under the name Astyanax mexicanus (Mexican tetra). RNAcentral describes it as "lncRNA (ENSAMXG00005022280.1)". The record is from RNAcentral. Lineage: Eukaryota; Metazoa; Chordata; Actinopteri; Characiformes; Acestrorhamphidae.
GGUGGGGCUGUUUGGCGAGUGUGAUUUCCUGCACCGGGGGGAGCUGCUGGCAGGGCAACAUGCUCCAGGUUAGAACACACACACACACACUGAGCUGAGCUGGGUGAUGUCAGUUACAGCAGAGCCGGACUGCAGGACUAACAGACUGAGCUGAUUCUUCACCAUGAGAUUUUAAUUCUACAGGAAACAGAAUUUAAAGUAUCAGUCUGCAGCAAUGAAGUCCCAUGAGGGAGAGCUGGUGAAAGAAAUCUCUAAGCUGCAGGCCAUGGUGCUGGAGCUCAGAGCUGGGUUUUCUCGGGCUUUGCUGGAACUGAAUCAGAUUCAGCUUGGAGACACGGAGCUGCAGACCCAGCUAGAGGAAACACGGCACGGCUGUAACAAGCGGGCACUGCACCUGGAAACUCUGGUGCUGUCUCUCAGGGAGGAAUUGGAAGAUGUUCGCUGUCAUAUUCGGCAGAUCUGUGAUGAUCAGGUUAAACCAGAGCAAGCGAACAACAGCACAGCACCACAGAACGACAGCACUCCUGGAUGUAGUGGGAUGAAGGAUGUUGGCAGCAAUGUUAAUGGCGUUGCUGAUAGUAAUACAGGUGCUGUAUCCCCACCCCUUCACUCUGCUGGUGGAGCCCUCCUGGUACACUGCUACCUGCAGGGUCUUUCGGCUGGACGUAGUUCAGGCAGAGACGCUCAGGUAAAAGCGGAGAGACUCCAGAGCUGCUCAUUGCAAGGAAGGAGGCAGCGUGUAGCCGUGUCACUGCUGCGGUCGGAGUGGGACUAUGUGUCUAGUCUGGGUCUGCUGUACGACAAAUACAAAGCUACACCUACAACCAGCAGCAACUUAGAUUUACAUAAAGCUUUUGCGAAGCACGUGGAUCAGAUGCUGCAGAGACACCUGCAGUUCAGGAACUGUUUGGAGGAGCGACUGACUCUGGAUCAGCGGAGCUGGGCUGUGGGAGAGGAUUUUCUCAAACUGACCGGACAGGAGAAUUCAGCAUUCUGUGACGCGUAUCUUGGCUACAUGACCGCUCUGGCAUCCAUCCUGACCGCAGAGUUCAGCCGAGAACAGCCGGACAAGCCGCAACACACGCAGGAGGAGGAGGAGAAGGAAAGCUUUCGACUACUGUCCCUGCUGUUAGCACCUGUGUCACGCUUACACGCCUACCUGAACACCAUACAGCUGCUGAGGCUGAACUGAAACAAUAAUUAACGCGGUGGAAGGAUCACACAUGGAGCUCUGUGCAGCAGUAAACAGCAGGAGGUAUUAAACUAGUACUAAGUAUUAAACUUUAGGGUAGCUAACUAAGUUAAGUAAAGCUAAGCUAAGUAAACAAAAAAAAAACUGUAAUAAAAGAAGACUUUCUUUUAAAGCCA